Long non-coding RNA from Olea europaea var. sylvestris, 853 nucleotides. RefSeq lists it as uncharacterized. NCBI's taxonomy places the organism in Eukaryota, Viridiplantae, Streptophyta, Magnoliopsida, Lamiales, Oleaceae. The record is from RefSeq and is a predicted model, not a curated record. The transcript is spliced from 6 exons.
GAGAUGACUUCUCUGUCAACAUAUUUGAUUGUUCUUUUAGAUUGUGUUAUUUUUUGGAGAGAGUUCUUUCUAAGUUUGGUGAUAGUUACUUUGGAAGAAGCGCAAACUUUAGACUCCAUCAUAUUUCAUAUUGAGAGCUGUUGAAAAUAUCUCUACGCCUCAGAAGCCCAGGUCUAAAAAUAAGUGGUAAGCUGAACUUGGCAACAAGGAUUCGGUUAGCUGAACUUGGCAACAAGGAUCCAGGUGGCUCAUGUGGCUCUCAAGCAUCGCUUGAAGGUAACACAAUAAUAAAGGAUUAUUGUAUUCAAGCCCUCUAACAUGUGACGAUGAGUUAGAGAUUAUUGGAAGGACAUUAAAAAGGAACAGUGUGUCUGUCACCGUAGUUAACUUUGAUGAGGAAGAUGAGGAAAUGCCCUUUCUGACAUGCUGACCCAUGUUGCAAAGUACUGCUCUAUUACUUGAUGGCAGUAUUGUUGCAAAGAAAAGACGCAUUAGAAUGGGCUCAUACAGGAAAAGACGCCGUCAAGUCAAUUUGGUUCUUGCUUGUGCUAAAAAAUAUUAUACUUUGGUUUGUACCCUUACUUAAUGAAAUCAUUUACUGUGGUGAUAGAGAGGUCACGAAAGAAAUUAAAAGCACAUGCCAGAAACAAUAGAGCCCAGGCACUGUUACUUUCUACUCAGUUCUGGAAACUGCACCUUUGCUGUGUCUUAUGUAUAGUUGUCUUUGAUCUCUGUGUACCUUUGAUUAUGUCAAUUUAUCUUCGAGAUAUUUGGUUAUCUUUAACGUUGAUGUUCCCAAUGAUUUUAAUUCUUUAUGCACUUUCACCAACAAAUGUACAAGAACUUUCAUGCU